Molecule: unclassified non-coding RNA, 357 nt
Filed under: soil metagenome
Description: partial contains 5.8S ribosomal RNA, internal transcribed spacer 2, and large subunit ribosomal RNA
Rfam family: 5.8S ribosomal RNA (bases 1-120)
Source: RNAcentral
GAUGAAGAACGCAGCGAAACGCGAUAAGUAAUGUGAAUUGCAGAAUUCAGUGAAUCAUCGAAUCUUUGAACGCACAUUGCGCCCGCUGGUAUUCCGGCGGGCAUGCCUGUUCGAGCGUCAUUUCAACCCUCAAGCUCUCCGGAGUUUGGUGUUGGGGCGCCUGGGGCUUUUCGACCUCAGGGCCCUCAAGUCCAUCGGCGGGACCGCCAGGACACUGAGCGCAGUAGUAUUAUUUCGCUCGGUAGGAUCUUCCACGGCGGGUCGAUCUGGCCGCUAAACCCCCCAAUUCUCACCAAAGGUUGACCUCGGAUCAGGUAGGAAUACCCGCUGAACUUAAGCAUAUCAAUAAGCGGAGGA